This 827-nucleotide ribosomal RNA is filed under the name uncultured bacterium. RNAcentral's name for it is "bacterial SSU rRNA". It matches the Rfam family "Bacterial small subunit ribosomal RNA", at positions 61 to 884 of the family's 1533-position model. The record is from RNAcentral.
GUCGAGGGGCAUCGGGGGUAGCAAUACCUGCCGGCGACCGGCGCACGGGUGAGUAACACGUAUGCAACCUGCCUCAAACAGAUGGAUAACCCGGAGAAAUUCGGACUAAUAUAUCAUAGCACAGUGUAUCCGCAUGGGUAUAUUGUUAAAGGAGCAAUCCGGUUUGAGAUGGGCAUGCGUUUCAUUAGUUAGUUGGCGAGGUAACGGCUCACCAAGGCGACGAUGAAUAGGGGUUCUGAGAGGAAGGUCCCCCACACUGGUACUGAGACACGGACCAGACUCCUACGGGAGGCAGCAGUGAGGAAUAUUGGUCAAUGGUCGAGAGACUGAACCAGCCAUGCCGCGUGCAGGAAUACAGCCCUAUGGGUUUUAAACUGCUUUUGUACGAGGGUAAAACGAGGCACGUGUGCCUUCUUGCAAGUAUCGUACGAAUAAGGAUCGGCUAACUCCGUGCCAGCAGCCGCGGUAAUACGGAGGAUUCGAGCGUUAUCCGGAUUCAUUGGGUUUAAAGGGUGCGUAGGUUGUUUAUUAAGUCAGCGGUGAAAAGGAGAUGCUUAACAUUUCCCGUGCCGUUGAAACUGAUAGACUUGAAUAAUGUUGAAGUAAGCGGAAUGCGCAGUGUAGCGGUGAAAUGCAUAGAUAUUGCGCAGAAGGUCGAUUGCGAAGGCAGCUUACUAAACAUAUAUUGACACUGAGGCACGAAAGCGUGGGGAUCAAACAGGAUUAGAUACCCUGGUAGUCCACGCUGUAAACGAUGAUAACUCGCUGUCGGCGAUAUACAGUCGGUGGCCAAGCGAAAGCGAUAAGUUAUCCACCUGGGGAGUACG